RNAcentral lists this ribosomal RNA (773 nucleotides) under uncultured Neocallimastigales. RNAcentral describes it as "partial large subunit ribosomal RNA". The stretch from base 3 to 663 matches the Rfam family "Eukaryotic large subunit ribosomal RNA", at positions 24 to 664 of the family's 3401-position model. Lineage: Eukaryota; Fungi; Neocallimastigomycota; Neocallimastigomycetes; Neocallimastigales. The record is from RNAcentral.
UCGCAUCUGUGCAUGCAGCAUAUCAAUAAGCGGAGGAAAAGAAACUAACAAGGAUUCCCUCAGUAACGGCGAGUGAAGCGGGAAGAGCUCAAAUUUGAAAUCUUGAAAGGUCACCUUUCACGAAUUGUAGUUUAAAGAAGUGUUUUCUGUUACGAUCGUAAUAUAAGUUCUUUGGAAUAGGACAUCACAGAGGGUGAGAAUCCCGUCUAUGAUUGCGGUUUGUAGCUUUGUGAUACACUUUCAAAGAGUCGGGUUGUUUGGGAAUGCAGCCCAAAACGGGAGGUGAAUUUCUUCUAAGGCUAAAUAUUGGCGAGAGACCGAUAGCGAACAAGUACCGUGAGGGAAAGAUGAAAAGAACUUUGAAAAGAGAGUUAAAUAGUACGUGAAAUUGUCAAAAGGGAAGCGUUUAACACCAGUGUUGUUUUCUGAAAAUCAACCUCUGUUAGCUUUAUGCAUGUUUGUUUAGACCUAAUCAGCUAUCUUGCAUGUUCUAUUGUUUGCAGUGGUGCACUUUUCAGUUUACAGGUCAACAUCAGUUUUUUUUACCGUAAAAAAGUUAAAGAAAGGUAGCUCAUGGCUCCGGUCGUGAGUGUUAUAGUCUUUUUCCUAUGCAGGUAGGAGAGACUGAGGUCUGCAGUGUAGGCUAUUUGGCUAGAUACUCAGGUGCUAUGUGAUACCAUUUCAUAAACAACUUGUUGAUUAUGUUUUGUCUAUUGCAUACUCGCUUGUACUAUCAUACCUACGCUUAGGAUGUUGACGAUCAGCUGAGCGCG